CAACGUCGCCUCCUUGCCUGAAAACAAAACGUCCUUCCUUUCCUCUCUCUCACGAAGCACCUUCCUAGGGUUCGGCCCCGCCGCCGUUUUCUUCCACACCGUCUCCUGAGUCCUGACCGUGCGCCGCCGCUUGACCGCGCCGACUCCCACGUAUCUGCCGCUGCUCGCCCGCUCGCUGGACUAGCGCCCCUCCACAUGCCCCGCCUGUGCUAGAGAUCCGCCAGGACAUGAGCUAGCCCGACCGACCGGCACACCCAGGACCUGGCAGGGCAUCAGGGGAGCCAAGCCGGUGGAGAUCGCCGGCGCUGAGCGUCGGAGCACAGCUCGUGAAAGCCGGGAGGUAUCCGACCCAGCCCAGAUCCUGGAGUCGGCCGGUCGGCGUCGGCUAGCGGAGAUGCAGCCCAGCCACGGUCGCCGUAAUGGAACCCAGCGGUGGCCUGAACAGCUUCGGCGCAGGUUCUUUGAAUCCUUGUUUUGAUCGGUUAGGACUUUUCUACCCGUUGCUGUGCAGGUGUAUGUAGUAGAGCCGGACUAGAGAUAGUCGUGGUAUGUGAUCGAUGAAGUUAAAUCCUGCUGGUGAUACUGCACCACAGCGGCGCGGCGGCAACAGCCCAAAUUUGCACGAUCCGGCCGGACGCAGCUAUACAUGGAUGAUCUCAGGUUUACUGGUGAUGCUGAAUUAGGGGAGAGAUGCGUUGCCCCAUGCCACAGCUAAAAUUUGAAGCUGCUUACUGGAAGGAACAUGUGGUGCAUUAUGAGAACAUCAGACGACUUGCUGUUGCCACUCAGUAAGGUGCUUAUUUGGUACCAUUUCUUGCACUAUGAGAACAAAGAUGCCUUCCUACUAAAGAUGCAUUCAGCUUUUAGGCUACUGCAUUUCCUACCAUCGCUUGAAAGGCCUACCAAGCCAUCUUUGUUGUUAAACGUCUAUACAGUAAAAUUUUCCCUGGAUUACAUGCUUUUGUGGUGUUGCGCUAUUUUUCAUAAAGUAGAUGCAUGGUAGCAAAAUUUCUUUCAGACCAGACAGAUUGAAAACUAUGUACUCGUGUAUGUUCCGGGAAUGUACAAUUCCAGUAUUAAAUGUACAAAAAAAAUUAAUAGGGAUCUGGCGUAGAACCAACUUAUAUGUGACAUUUCAAAGCUUAUCUAUCGAAAUGAAGUUCUGCAUACAUGUAAGUUACCCUGCCCUACACCACAUAGUUUUUCCUUUCUAUUUACCCGAUCGGUAAUAGGAGAAGAUACUAGCAUUUUGUCAUAUUUAUCUUCAUAGGUUUCAGCGGUAAUUCACUUACUGGAACCUUGUCACCUUAUUUGUGCUAGCUGACUUGCAUGCGGUACUUGUAAGUUCUAUCCUUACUCGGAGAUGCUGCUUCAUAUCAUGCUAAUUAAUCUUCAUUUAGGAAAUACAGGUACAUUUCAUAUUACCAAAAUUUUCAGAAAAAUGCCAUACAACAUAGGUUUCUUUCUGGCAGCCACAGUGUAAUCCCUUCUGAUUUCGUGCAAAUUUCAUAUACUUUACCUUUUGUACUCUUGCAAUAUAUUGUUAUAUACACAUUUCGAGUUAAGCUUCAUUUUUUCAUUUUUGUUUAGCAGAUCCAUAAGAUGAACAUAUGCUUGUUGCUUGAGAGCUAUUGAAAUGUACUUGUAUGGUCCACCAUGGUGCAUUGAUUAAUUAACUAUAUCAGUUACAUAUGCUUGGUAAGAUAGGUAUCACCUAUCAGUUUAUUACCGAUGAAAUUCUUAGCUUCGUUUACUUACAAAUGCUUUGGAGGUGAGGGAAUGCACUUAUUUGGUUCAUGUAUGUUUUUAGUUUAUUUCUUGGUUAGCGUCAAGUUGAAUUGAUUGGUGCAAUGAAACAAUUACAAAUGCUUAGGAAGGGAAUUAUCAUCCAACGGUUUAUUAGUGAUGACAUUUCUAGCUAUUAGUCUUUCCAACAAGUUUCAUUUUGUUUAUUUCAGUUUUGAAUAUUGUUAUUUGCACAUGACUAUAUAAAAAUCUAGAACAUAACUAUUAAUUAUCCUCUUGGAAAAUAAAAUUCAUGUUAUCUUGCAAGUGAAGUUUUUCCCUUCCAUACCAUAUAUGCAACUUGAAAUAGAAGGAAGGUGAAGGAUAUAUGUUACGAAAUCCAUCUGCACCAGUGAAUGAUACCACCCAGUCGGUCAAUUUACAUGACUUAAUUCUCACAACCAAUAAAUAAAAUUUAUUUAUGCUGCAUAAACCUCCCUCUAUGAACAUUUGUGUGUAGCUACAAGCCGAUCCAACCUCAGAUUAGAAGGGCUGGUACGAGCGAGACUAUCGAAGGUAAGUGUGUCACUACUAUGCCUGCCAUUUAUUAAAGCAAAGCGACGCACAUAUAUCCAUUAUUACUGAUAUGAAAAUACAAUCAGCUGGGUUAGAGUAGUGUACCUCAUGGGUGGAGUUGUAUCAGAAGGCCUUAGAGCUAUCUUUAAUGAAAUUAUUAUGAAGAAAACCAUGUACUAUGUGAGCCCUUAAAGGUAUCUUGUCCAACGGCUCUCUAGAUUAAUCGCGAGAUCAUUCCCUGGUUAUUCCUAGAAGCCAAAGAUGGAUGCAAGUGUUUCAUGGAACUUCCCGCGAGUUACAUUGUUCUUAAACUGCAUGUGCACUUUCGUACUUAACAUAUCAGUUUUCCAUUGUAACUAUCCCAUGUGUGCAUCUAACUUUUGUUUGUAAUAAGCCCUGUUACCUCUUUGAAGUUCAGAGUAAAAAAAAUUUGUAUUAAUAUCCCUUGAUAAAAGAGCAUUAUUGAUGGGCAUUAUUUUUCUUGAAUUUCAUGCUGUUAUGACCAAAUUAAUAAAAUUCACACUCUGAUACUUGAUAAAUGAGCACCCGCAACUAUUUUCUAUCAAAUCACAUGCAAGAAUGAUUAUUUAUGUUGUAGUCAUAGUACUUGUGUUAGGAGAGUGUCAAGAAAUACUUUUAUUUUCUAAUGACAACUAGAAUCAGAUGCAAAGGUCUUUAUGUGCUGGCUACUAUGAUGUAUGCUAUAAAGAUAUUUGCUUAGACAAACAAUUUAUGUUUUCCCUAAUUUGUCGUUCAUGUAUGUACAUGUGUAUGAUAUCUAUAGGCUCCAGUCACCAAAUAAAGUCUGUUUCUCUUUUAGACUAUAGUUACCAGGCUUGCAUUUUAGCAUCAUAUACAGUUUGUUUGCAAAGUUGCUACUUUUAUAUCGAAAGAAGAUAUAUAUUGGAAGCUUGUCACCUGAAACUGAUGCAAAUGCUUGGUGGUGUUUAUUCUUUCCAUCAUGAAUAAAUGCUAGGAAGACCACCCCUGUGAGCAACAUCCGGCGGCCAGUCAAUUCCUCCCUUCCCUACAACACUCUUGACCCUGGUAGUGUGAUGUUAUAUGCAAAACUCGCAUCUUCUUCCUAGCUUGAAGGGUUGUCCCAGCAGAUGAACUUGGGAUUUUUGCUACCUGUGAAUAAAACUCCAACUUUAUGAGGAGAUUUUGUAGUUGGCUUCCUCCUGUAGGAUCAUAGAUAUGAUCAAAAUCUAUUGAUGACAUAGUGGCCAAUUUUCUUGCUUUGAUCAAUAAUGCAAUACUGAAGAAGCAGUCCUGGAAUGAGCAUCCUGAAUAAACAAUUCUGAUGUAAUGUUCAGUAAUUUUUCUAGUGUUGUUACAUGUAAGUUCUUAUAAUACUGGUUGUGGUGUAUUCUACCAGGUUAAGUGCGAAAGCAACAAUGUCAUCUAGAUCUUUGAUUUUAUCUGGAUAGUUUGGUUCUUGGAUGAAUAGAAUGUGGACUAUCUCGAUUUUAUUAGGUCCAAGUUAUUUCCAUUCGGAUUUUUCAUAGCACAGAGACUUUGACCAAUACUGUAAUAUGAAUCAAUACAUGGCUUGCAGGUUGCAUAUCAAUUUUUUUAUUCCUUUGUUCCUAGGUAAGGAACUGUGGGAAGAGCAUAGCUACUAUCAUUGCCAAGAGGCCAUGAUCUGGAUCUGCCUCAAGAAGCCAUAUCAAGCCCCGCCAGAAGAUGAGUGUUGUUGAGCAUGCUGGAAGGUGUGCGUGGAGAGGUUCGCAGGGGCGUU
This is a non-coding RNA of Lolium perenne, 4042 nucleotides long. NCBI's taxonomy places the organism in Eukaryota, Viridiplantae, Streptophyta, Magnoliopsida, Poales, Poaceae. The record is from RefSeq and is a predicted model, not a curated record.